This 388-nucleotide ribosomal RNA is filed under the name uncultured bacterium. Its description in RNAcentral is "bacterial SSU rRNA". It matches the Rfam family "Bacterial small subunit ribosomal RNA", at positions 14 to 432 of the family's 1533-position model. The record is from RNAcentral.
MGAUCCUGGCUCAGAACGAACGCUGGCGGCAGGCUUAACACAUGCAAGUCGAGCGCCCCGCAAGGGGAGCGGCAGACGGGUGAGUAACGCGUGGGAACGUGCCUUUUGGUUCGGAACAACUCCGGGAAACUGGAGCUAAUACCGGAUAAGCCCUUCGGGGGAAAGAUUUAUCGCCAAAAGAUCGGCCCGCGUCUGAUUAGCUAGUUGGUGAGGUAAUGGCUCACCAAGGCGACGAUCAGUAGCUGGUCUGAGAGGAUGAUCAGCCACACUGGGACUGAGACACGGCCCAGACUCCUACGGGAGGCAGCAGUGGGGAAUAUUGGACAAUGGGCGCAAGCCUGAUCCAGCCAUGCCGCGUGAGUGAUGAAGGCCUUAGGGUUGUAAAGCU